AAAGUCUGACCUGCCCUAUGAAUUUUUAAAUGGCUGCGGUACUCUGACCGUGCAAAGGUAGCAUAAUAAUUAGUUUCUUAAUUGGGAACUGGAAUGAAAGGUCGAACGAGAAAAAGACUGUCUCAAUUUAAUUUUUAUUAGAAUUUUAUUUUUAAGUAAAAAAGCUUAAAUAUUAUUAAAAGACGAGAAGACCCUAUAGAGUUUUAUAAUUUUAUAUAUAAUUGAAAGUUAAAGUAUUAUAGAUUUGAUUAUAUAUAAAAUUAUUUGGUUGGGGCGACUAAAAAAUUGAUUAAACUUUUUUUAUUUAUAAACAUUGAUAUAUGAGUAAGUGAUCCA
This 336-nucleotide ribosomal RNA is filed under the name Gymnopleurus humanus. RNAcentral's name for it is "partial 16S ribosomal RNA". The stretch from base 1 to 169 matches the Rfam family "Archaeal large subunit ribosomal RNA", at positions 1941 to 2143 of the family's 2987-position model. The record is from RNAcentral. Lineage: Eukaryota; Metazoa; Arthropoda; Insecta; Coleoptera; Scarabaeidae.